Small nuclear RNA from Artibeus jamaicensis (Jamaican fruit-eating bat), 164 nucleotides. RefSeq annotates it as U1 spliceosomal RNA. The record is from RefSeq and is a predicted model, not a curated record. NCBI's taxonomy places the organism in Eukaryota, Metazoa, Chordata, Mammalia, Chiroptera, Phyllostomidae. The transcript has a single exon.
UGUCCCAGGUAGCAGGGGAGCUACCAAGAUCACGAAGGUGCUUUUUCCAGGGUGAGGCUUACCGUUGCACUCUGGGUGUGCUGACUCCUGUCAUUCCCCCGAAAGUGGGAAACUUGACUGCUUACUUUGUUGGUAAUGGGGGACAGCGUUUGUGCUCUCCCCAG